RNAcentral lists this long non-coding RNA (32558 nucleotides) under Musa acuminata (dwarf banana). RNAcentral's name for it is "long non-coding RNA (MACU_LNC001167)". The record is from RNAcentral. Lineage: Eukaryota; Viridiplantae; Streptophyta; Magnoliopsida; Zingiberales; Musaceae.
GAGAGCCAGUCAUUCUUCUCGUCUGGUCGAUCGCCUCCUAUCUCGAUCGUGCUCCUUCCAUCUUGUUCUUCUGGGAUUCUUUUCCCCGCAUUCUCUUCUUACAGCGCCGCCGCUUCGGCUUCGGCUCCCAAUGUCUCUCUGGCCCUCUGCUACGAGAAAUCGUGCCGUAAUAUUGCCAACAUCGUCGUCAAUUACCUCGGCGAGAUUGACGCCGACCGCCUCCUCUCCAUCGUCGGCAACGCCAGGAGCCGGAACGGCACCAUAUCCUGCUGGGUACUCCCGUCUAUUCCUUUCUCUGACCAACUCGAAGUGGUCGCCACCCUUAGAAAGGUCGUGAGGAUGAUUUUUUCUGCCUUUGAUGGGGGUGUAGAAUAUAAAAAAGGAGGGUUCUUGCAAUAAAACGGAUCUUGUUCUCUUGCGUCGUUGUCCCAAUGAGUGCUUAUACGCCUAUAAUGCUCGGCCCUAUUUGUUAGUAUUCUCUCUACAGUCGUUCCUCUCUUCACAGAUUGGAUCCAGUUAUGCUCUUUCAAGCUUAGUUGUUUAACAUCCUUAGUUGUGAAUAGAUAUGGGUAAAAAUUUCAGCUUAAUUGGGGAACAUCUGAAAGAUCAAAAAAUUAAGCUCUUAUCUUUACAAUGGCAUCAUAUAAACUCUUUGGUUUGUGCCAAAAGACUCGAAUGUCAUAGGCUUCAUCAUCAAGAGGACGUAAAUGUAGUUGUGUACAUAAAUUUUAUUAAGAUAACUUGUAGAUGAGCUGCAUGUUAUAAUUGGUCAAACAUGAAUUCUAGCAAAAAUGCACGCUAUUGUUUACGUGGCAGCAGGUUUCAUCAAUAUUGUUGUCUAAUUAUCAUGGACUUAGCUGGUUUUGCCUAAGUCGUACGGUACCCUUGCGUGCCCGUCCGCAAAGGUCAGCCUCCCCAAAACCUCCUAUAGUCCCUUAGGAUCUACAAAAGAGAAAACAGGUUAGAGAAAGCGCCUCACUCGAGAUCCACAAGCAAAGAUUCCAGGAAACACUUCAUAGACAAUGCAAAUUACAAACAGACUUUACAAGCUCUGAACAGUUGCACAACAAAGGGUCAAAAUGGUCCACUAUAGAUCGAAUAUCUCUCACAAGUGUCUACAUGACACAAUCUUUAUUUACAAGCCUAAGAAGGCCACCAAACCCAACUAAAAUGAGGCUUUUAAGUCUUCGACCGUCCCUCUACAUGAUGUGCAAAGCAUGAACAAACCAAAAGACACGGACAUAUAUAAGUAUUACAUCAAACAUCCUGUUUAGAACUUUGUCCGUGACAUAAUGGUUCCUUCAUGGAUCCACGAGUACAAUAUUCAGAAAGGCAGAGGUAAGAAGGUGAUAUGAACACACCUCACGUAAUCCAUAUGAUGUAUCUUGACAUAUCUUUACAUGCUCGGAUGUGUAGUUACACCAACUAUUGGAAAUGUCCUCUGCUUUCUCAUUUCCGCCUGUUGAAGUGCCUGAUUAUAUUAAAAAUAAACUAAUUUCCAAUCAUAUCUUGUACACAGCAUAUGCUGCAGUAUGACUACUGAAUCUGCACAUCUUAAUCCAAUUCUUACUACUGUUUCAGCAUAAUGCUUUAUCAACCUAAUGGAGGACACCCUUUGUGCCAUAGUAUAGUUGCCCAUGUUUUGGGCUGGUAUCAGGGGUCUACAUUAGCAAAAGUCAGGCAGCAUUGCAUGUUCCGCUACCAGGUUUUUACAUUCUUAAGGUCAUAGCUAAUUCAAGGGAUCUUGACAUGCAUGAUGUGGAAUUCGUUUAGCUGAAUCUGUGUGUGUUACAUAGUGCAAAUCACUUGAAGAGUGAUCUUUCAUUACAUCUCCCAGAAGCUAUUAUUUUCUUUCAACUUUUGCAGAAGAACAUUUCAGCAUCAUCUACUCAGUUGAGAGCCUGGUUUUGAAACAUAACUACCUUCACUGGAAAUCCUGGUUUUCAGAAACUGGAUUUAGUUCACAUGCAGAUAGUGGACAUGGGGAAGAGUUCUCGUCCAACUACUUUAUCAUAUGUAUGACAUAUAGUAAUAAGUUUGUAAUAUAAACCUGCAAAUGUAUUUUGAAAUUUUAUGGGAAAAAAAUCAAGUCAGUUUUGAUGCUGUCUGCAGCAAAUUUUCUUCUGAUUCUAUUGAUUCUAUAUCUUCAGCUAAAGUAAUCUUGUUACUAUAGCUUGAUGAAAUGUAAUGUAAAUCUCUUUUUUUUUCUCUCAUACAUUGGAUGUAGUUUCAAUUUCUACAAUACGUAUCAGCAUAUUCUAUAGUUUGUAAUUUCUUAGCACAUACAUAUCAGAUUUUAUUUUGACGAGUCAAUUUACUGAACUUGGUCCCUUCUAUUUUUGCAGCUUGAAUUAACAGUAUGGAGCACAAACAGAUUCUCUGAAGCCCCCUCAGAGAUACAUCUAUUGGGUAGUGGUGGAUGGACAUCCACUUUAUGAGGUUAGUUCUAAUGAUUAGGAACUUCUUCAGUCCUCUUCUGUUGCGUCACUGUGAUGUACAUCAUAACGAAUUGAUUGGCUGAAAUUGGGUUUAAAAGCGGCAAUAUGCACGAGUCCUUAUCAGAAGUUUCCAAGUUACAUAUACUGAAGCAUACAACAUUCUCUUCUAUUCUAAUUUCAGUUGAACAAGUCAAUUUACCAGUUGGUUUAUUCUUGCGUUACUAUUAGGGUAGAUGAUAUGUUCAACUCUUGACCUUUCUGCCUCCUUGAGCUGUGGGGAAGCAGUUGUAUUGCUUGUGCUGAAUUCUGAAGACAUGAUUAUUUGUGAUCCAUUGUUAUUCUAAAAUUUAGAAGAAAUGUAAUUUCUUGAGAAUUUGCUUUCUUGGGAUCCCAAAUUAGUUGCACAAGCAUUGUACGUUGCCAUCUUAAUGUGCAAACCUGAGUAUUCCUUUAAAUAACUUAAGAUCUGAUAUUUUGGUGUUUUGUGUACUUCAGGUUGGUAAUGGUGAGUUUUUUUCAUCAUUGUAUUCCCAUAGAUGCUUCUCAUGUUUGAAAAUAGUGUUAUUUGUCUAUUACGGAACAAGGAAAGUUGGCUCUCCAUUUCCCCGCUUUAAAUUUGAAUACAAGAAUGGUAAGCCAAGGUGCUGAACGGAUCUGUAGUUCUGAUUAUUUCAUCCACCUAACUAACUGCUUACAUCCUGAGUCCGAUGCGAACCACCUCAAAUGCAUCUUUUUAAACGCUUCUUUAAGAGUUUGACUUUAUAUCUAUAUUUUUUCAAGUACAAUAUUCUUGUACUUCGAAGUCUACCUGGAAUUUGUAAGUCCAGAUAUAACCUUUGGAACGUACAUGUCCCCUGACAUUGAUAAAAUAAAGAGAGAAAAAGGAAUAUGCCUGGAUGGUUAUGUUAAAUUUUAAUCAAAAUGGCUGUGAUUGAAGUUGAUUAGUUUUGUUUCUGUUGGAAUCACUUGUCAUGUGAAAUGAACGUUUUUGUUCAAUUAUUAAUUUCCAGCCAGACUUCAAGCCACAAGCAGCCAGUUCUGUAGUUGUGAGGAAGGCAAGUCUUCUUCCAUGGACAUUGUUUGUCAUGUGCAUCUUUCAUAAAUCUACAAUGUUUCACAUUUUGAGCCACACCUGGGUGAGGAACUUUAGUAAAUUGGGUAUGAAAGACUCUCGUUGUUGAUCCUUUGGUAAUACUCUUUAAUCUCUUUAAAUGAAGGGACAAGUUUUUGAUGUUGGGAACAUUAAAAACUUGUGCUUUCAUUCUAAGUUUUGAUCCUGGCAGAGCAUUCGUUUACCAACUUUGGAUGCUUACACGUAGAAUUCAAGAUAACACAUUGUUUACCGUGAAUCCUGGGCAAGAAAUUGCACUAGACUUUGCAAAUGAUCUUUGUUUUGUUGACAUUUCAUUUCAUUCCACUGUCAUUUCUGAUGGUUGUUGCAUGAAGUUAAUCUGUAGGCCCUUGUUAUUUAUGAUGUCAAUCAUUUGCUCCCUCCAUUGAACUUGUUCUUCUCAAUGUCAUACAGCUGUGCUCUUUAUCUUUCCUAAAACAAAAUUUAUGAUAACUAUCUGCGCCACCUUCAUUUUCCAUCGCAGGAUUAUGAUAACUCCGAAGCUGACAUUUGCAAAGCUUCUACUAGGGAGUCGCCAAAAGACCUGCUUUGGAUUGACCCUCCAUACCCAACCGGGAAAAGGAAUCAAAUAGUCUUAUGCUCAUGAGAUGAUCAUUUCAGAAUGAUAAGACGAAGAUAAGAAUGGUAAUACAAGCUUCCAUGCAGAUUUCCUAUACAUGAUUGUUCUUUUUGGUCAUAUGGUGGCCUUGUGAAUAGGUAAAUAAUGAAAAUCUUCGCUCAUAGGAAGAAAUUUCUUGUACAUGAAAAUGUGAACCUUCAUCUUGUUAGAUUGCAAACAUACUGGAAAGGCAUCUGCAACCUGUUGUGUUAAAUACUAUUUUGCUGCUUAAGUAAUUUAUCUUUUUCUCCUCUCUUUCUCUUGGCUCCAAACCCAUCCUGGUACAUUAUAGAUACUGGUUUUGUUGUCGUCAUCUGGUGACAAAACUCUAGGGUGACCGUUUUAUGACACAGUAAAACUCUUAGAGUUGUUCGCCUAUAAUUCUGUUCUCUAAUAAUAUUAGAUAUAGAAUUACAUUGAACAUUUCACCUCUAUUCAGCCAUAUCAUCGCAAAAAUAGCAUAAUUUAGAUCUUUCUCUAAUUUAAUUGUCAAAAAUUUAAAAAUAAAUAAAAAUAAUUGUGUGUAAUUGCCCAAAGACUCUGCAUAUCUCUCUCCAUUAUAGGUUGGUUUUUUCUUGAAGACAUGUUUUAUGUAAUUUAUUUUUAGGUACAAUCAUGCUAUUUGAGCCACAUGCUUUUUGUUUGAUAUGAAUGAUACAACUUUUUUGAUUCAUAGGUACUGAUUGUGGUGGGUUAUGUCCUCCAAUGUUCCCCAUCAGUAAUGAAAUUUUUUAGGCUCACAACAUUGGUGGAUCUCAAGGAUUGUACCUAUGGUAAAGAAAGAAAAAGAUGAGAAGAAGGAGAGGCAUCAUAUUAUGGAAAAUGCUGGUAACAAAUUUACCUUUUUCUCAUUAAGGUAAGGGUUGAUAACAAAUAGUAUAGGAUACUAGUAAAUUUUACCUAAUCCAGAAAUUUGAAUCUUACCAGAAAACUGGUUUGUGUAUUAAUUUAAUCAAAAAAUAGAAUUUAAUAUAGGAUCACUAAAAGGUAUGGAAAAUGUUGGUAUUGAAAUAACUUGAAUUGCACAAUUAUGCAUGGUCCAUUUUUUAAGAAAUAAGAAAAAAGAAACAUUCACAAAGAUCUUUACUUCAACUCAUUUAGAAGUUCAAAAGCUUAAAAUAUACUAGACAUAGUAUGUUUGAAUUAUAUCUAUUUAAAUUUCUGUUGAAAACAAUCGCUGAUUAUUCACCUAUUUACUUGCAUAUACGCAGUCACUGUUCUUUAAAUUCCUCCCUCAUAUUGUCCACAUGACUUGAGAUAACUUUUCAGAGAGGUGAAGAACUCUGAUUUCAUCUCCUUUUGUUUUGGUGUACACUUCAUUGAUUUCUUUGUUUAGUACGACAGCAGAAACAGUCAUGACAAAUCAUUACUGCCCAAAAGAAUAAAAAAGGUUUAUAGUAGGGAAUAAUUUUGAUGCUGUGAUCAUCAUUAGGCAUCUCUGACAUACGAGGAAUCGGAAUAGUAGUUCUUACAUUCUUAUCAAUUUGAUUUAUUUUUUUCAAAUAUAUUUCAAGUGUAUUAGACAAUUAUACUCAAAACCAGACAUGACAACCUAUGGCUUGGAUAUAUAUAAAAUGUAUAAAUAUAUUAUUUGACAAUUAUACUCAAAAAUUUUUACGGUUAAAAAAAAUAUAUCGGAUGAGAUCUCGAAGACUCGAUCUUAUUUGGUACAUCAAUUGGACUCUUCAUCUAGUACAUCAACAUCAAAUCGGUAUUUUAGUAUAAUACUUCCGAUUUAUACUUUACAAUCUUAAAUACUAUCAAUAUAAAAGAAGUAGCUCUUCUUAGAAAACAAUGUUUGGGUAGUAAGCUUGCUAACAAAGGCUGUUUACAGAAGAAGAAUCAUUGCCCUUUUAACAAUGAAGCUUUUAAAUGCGUGAUGGGAUACAAGUCAAUGUAAAUGCCAAUUGAUAAUUAUAAGCUGUUGAUGUGUUGCUUUGAGUUAUGGAUUCCAUAAUAAUUAUGGAUUCAACUCGUACGGUAUACAUAAAAAAUAAUAUGAACAAUAAUUAAUGGGUCACUAGAAUAUUAAUAUUUCAGAUGAAAAGUCCUCAAGAUGUGUUGUCAAACCACACUAUUUUACUUGUGUGUUUUAUAUAUAUGAUAUAAUUGUUUUUUACAUUAGAUUAACAUGCUAAUAUUAUCAAAUGAAUAGGGCCAAAUUAUUAAUCCCGGAGGAAGAAGAAGGUGCAACGAAUGCGUACAAAAGAACUUUCGUGAAUCGAUUCUGAUCAUGACACAUAAGAUAAAAUAAAUCUCAUGGUCUUCAUCAGAUGAGGACCAGAAGCUUAUUGAAGAAGUAGGCAACCUGUAAAGCAUUUACGAUCAUAAUUGUAGAGAAAGUUAUAGGAGAUAAUUUGAUUAUUAUUUAGAAAAGAGAUGGAAUUCAAUAGGAUUCAACACAAUAAAUACUACUUAAAAGGGUUGUGAAUUGAGGUGAUUUGAUCGAGGAAGAGAAAUAUGAUGUGGGCAAAUCUCCAAGUGCACCAUCUUGGAUUGGAGCAUCAGGUAGAUUAUAUAGCACGGAUACGAGCAGGAAUCAAUGAUCAAGUCAAGACAGAACCACAUCAUUCGACGUGACCGCUACAUGCAUUGUUUAUCUAAUGGUGGAGGUUGUGACAUCCCCACAAUUCUUAAUUCUGCAUCGCUCAAUCAGCAUGGAUGCUUACAAACGCCGGUAGGUCACUGUUCUAAGCCUCUUUCUAGCCCCUCACUGCACCAAAAGCAAUAAAGAACGCACCCAUGGAUCGCGGGCUGUUCACACACAACAUGUGUCGUGUUUCCUCACAAAGAUGGUGAGAACAUAGCAUGUUUGGCACACCAAAAGAAGGCCGAGUAUGAUGGCGAGUCGAUUGCUAUUCCGAAGCUUUGGUUCUCCUUUCGAGAUCUCUGUGGCAUGUACGCACUGCACAAGCUGAGGCCUUCUUCCCUCCCUCCCUCCGUGGCGACGUCAAGGUAGGGCAAUGAGUCCGUACGAGGAGCUCCGCUGCUUCGCUGUUGCUUGCACAAGGACUAUUACUUUUAGGUCGAGUGCAGACGCAAGAAGUGGUUCCUCUUUCUAACCCAUCUUCCUCGAGUGACAUUAUAAUACUCCCGUCUCUGUCUCUCUCUCUCUCUCUAGCUACCUUGAGAGAUUGUAGGGUUUUGCACCCAUAUGUGAAGGGUGAGGUCUCGAGUGAAAGUAGCUGGUAGAUUCUGGAAGGAUUGAUGUGCAUCGAAAAUGGCAUUGAGAUCCUUGUAAAGGUUGACCGCAAAAGGGAACUUAGUGUUGCAAUCACCACGGGCUGCGUUCAGCUUUAAUGGAAGAACAUGCACCGAUGAUUUAUUGUGUACAGAUUACAGAUGCUUCUAAAUCUAAUGAGGGGUUAAUGAAGCACGGUAGAGUGAGCGAGAGGUGGCCGCUCGUGCGGGGAAUCCUUUGCAACUCCUUUACCUUGAUGCCAGUAACAGUGGCUCUCACUGUUACUAAAGCAACCAAAAGGAGAAGAAUGAAGACAAGAGGAAAAAAGGAGAGCGGGGAGACGAACCGAGACACAAGUCUGUGAGUCUGUGACUGCUUUAGAAGCAAAUAAACAAAGGAAAGCUUUCGUACUAUGAACAGUGAGGGGGAGGGGAAUCUGAUGUCAGUGCUUCCUGGACCGACCUGUUUCCUUCCUUGUUGUUCAAAGAGGAUGCCGAGUUUGCAGUGUGGCUAAUGAUUCAUGAGUUAUGGUGCAACUGGUGCAAGGUGACUGCACGCUUCGAAAACUGGGGAAGAAGAAGAGGUUUGCCCCAAUUAAAGAACACUGUCCAAUGAGCCAUCGAGAGAGAGAGAGAGAGAGUAGAAAUGUAUAGUGUCAAAGAAUCAGCUAAUAUAUAUGUCCAUAAUUAGAGCGGAGAAAGAAAACUGUAUCAACUUCAAAUCCAGUAGUGCAAGCAAAAGAUGAGGAGGAAUCACUAAGGAAGCAAUUGAAGUAGAACAGGUUAGUAAUUCUUUUGACCAGUUAAUUAGAAGAGAGAGAGAGAGAGAGAGAGAGAGCUCUAAGUUCUCCGUUUCGCCCAUCUUCUGUGUCGUCAACAAUAACAUGUCUUUGAGGCGAUCAUACCAGCACUAAUGCGCAGUCAUGAAACGGAUGAUGAACCACCGGGCUGAUCGCAGCCUGGUCUGAUCUCUCCCACCACGGAACUCAUAGCGCCGCCGCCCCCGCUACUGCUGUCACUGGCACUAAUAGGCCCGCCCGCAGCAGGUGGAGCCAUAGUGGACGGCUCCCCUCCGCCGCCCGAACUCCCCUCGGCGGCCAAAGACCGUGCUCGCUUCCGCUUCUUCUUCUCGUAGGGGAUGCCACGAGCCUUCGAAUGGCUCUCCCGCACCUCCCUGAGGUAACUCCUGACGGCCCGGGCGGCGAAGGGGUUGGACUCCUGCCGGCCCCCGUUCUCCUCGUAGGCGGCGCGGAGGCGGCCGAUGAGGGCGUCGAGGGAGCCCCAGGCUUGCUUGAGGGGGCACGCGCAGGAGGCCGGCGGGUUGGGUUGGCCGAAGAAGGUGCAUCCUGGGGAGUGCACCUUCGUCUUCCCGAACUGGUCCAGGUACUUCAAGAACUCGAUCACAUGCGCGCCGCUGCACCUCGCGAGCGUCAACGGCGGCUUGUGGUUCUUCAGGUACUGCAGGAACGUGUUCCAGUCUCGCCUCUUCUGCGACUCGUACCGACUCAGCGGUUGCCGCUGCUGCUGAGGAGGAGGAGGUGGCUGCUGUGGAGAUUGAGGAGGAUCAGGGGUUGGGUCGGCGACGGCGGAAGAGGAGGAAGGGCCUUCGUCAGGGCCUCCGCGCCCGUGCGGCGCCGGUUCCAUGCAGGAGCACGCGGUGGAGCUCUUCUCUCCUUCUCUGCCUUCUUUUCCUCUGUUAGUAUUACCGCUGCCGCUGCUGUUAUCCGCUAUCUGGAGCUUCCAUGGGGGUUGACAGCUACUGCAGGUCCUUCCUCUGUGAUCUGUGGGAAGGGUUUGGCUCUCCCCUUCCCCAAGAACUUUUCUUCUGUGGUUGGGAAGGAUUGAGCCAAGGUGGGAGAUGCUUCAGUAAAUGGGAGGGGGGGAGGGAGGGAGACACAAGGUGGGUUGAGAUGGGACGUCAAAAGGGUAGGCACACACGAGAGACACAGAGAGAGAUAGAGAGAGAGAUAGAGAGAGAGAGAGAGAGAGAGAGAGAGAGAGGGGUAAUCAACGUGGUGGCUCCCUCGAUGUUGGGACGUGAGGGGAGACCGACAUUACCUGUUGUUCGGGUCUUUUUGGAGUGCGUGUGAUAAAUUUCAUGGGAAAGUGUGGGGGCCACGUGUUGUCCUCUUUCAUUUUGGCAAUUACAAUUCUAUUAUAUAUAUAUAUAUAUAUUGUGAAGUUAAUUCAUUAUUAUCCUAAAUAAUUGGUUAAGAUAUACUGAGAUUUUUAAUUAAAUUUUAAUUAAGGUUAUCGAUGAAUAAAAAAAAUUUAUUUAUGUUAGAAUUCAUCUUAGGAAAUGAUAUGGGAGAAACUCUCCUAAUGACCUUUUUAAUCUUUUGCUUUGGCCAAGAUUUCUUCUCUCAUCUUCCGAUAAAUAUUUAUUCCUUCGAUUAUAAUAAUCAUGAAAAUAAGAAAAGAGAAAAAAAAAUUUAGCUUCUUUUGUAUGCAAAUUAAUGAUGCAUGUAGAUCAUCACGGUAUAUUGCUUUGUCACAUCUGAAAUUUAAAAGAGACACACAUGUCUUGAAUAAUAUGUGAUACUUAAUUUUAAUUCUAACAUUAAAUUUUUAUAUAGUAAUUUUAUUUCUUACAUUCAUCCCUAUCAAAGUAGACACAAUUGACAUAUGUUCCUUCCCUUGUCUUUUUCUAAGGAAGAUGGGGCUUCUCAUAAUGACCUUCGUAUAGGAUUAGUUGGGACAGUGUCUCUUUAAUGUACAUUUAAUCACCAUUUUAGGAUAAUAAAAAUGCAUUUGGGCUUCUUAGUCCUUAUCAAACUUAGGGUGAAAUGUAUAAUUAUCAUUGUAAUCUUGCUAUGAUUUUUCCUUGUCUCUCAUGUUGAUUUCUCAUCUCCUACUAUAUUUUCUUUUUGCUAUUUAUCAUGGUCAAGUAAGGGUUUUCACAUGAAAAUGUCAAUAAAGAUAAACAUCAUUUAUGAUCCAAUAAAAAUGCUAUCUAUUAGUGUUUGCCUGGUUAAGAUUUAAUUCUCAUAGGAGAUUAUUGUAGUAGAUGAAAAAUUGAUGUUAAUCUUCUCCAAGUGCUUCAACUUUCAUCACAUUUAUGAACAAAAUUGAAGUUUAUAUACAAGUCCUCUUACAUGCACAUAAUAUAGGGAAGGAUCAUAGCAAUUUUAACUCAAUGUUUAGAGUUAAUUUUAUAGAUAAAAUAUAAAUAAUGCAAUUUAUAAACUUCUUUAAAAGAUUUGAUAGGUUUUGGUCCAAGAAAAAGUUGCUUCACUAAACCCAACUAACUUGGCUUGGGUGCUUCUAACUUGAGCUAGGUUAGAGUUGGAUAACCUUAACUUGACCUAAGCUUGAAUUAGGUUAGGGUUGAUUUAGUUGAGUUUACCAUAUAUUUUUUGCCAAAUACAACUCAAGUAUUCGAUCAAAUCUAACCGAUUCCAAUCGAUCUAUACUCGACUUGAAUCUUAGUUGACUUAAAAUUUUUACGAGUGUGAAGUUAAUUUUAAUUUUUUACUUUCAGUAAGAUAGGGUUAUUUUUUCUAAGAUAAAGAUCUGAAUCUUAGAAUAUCACAUGCAUUCAGUCAGCAUUUUUGCAUAUUAAUUUUUACCACCCUUAGAUAAUAUAAAAUAUUAAAGAAUCACUUUCAUUAUUUGGUUAAAAAUAAUAAUGUUAUAAACAAUAAUAACAACAAUAAUGUCCCAACCAUUUAAGAUCAUUCAUAAGAAUCUAUUGACAUCAUUGAGAUCUACAGAAAACUAUAUUUUUAAUUAAAUAAAAUAUUUUUAAAAAAUAUUUAUAGUUUUCUAAAAUCUUUGUAGGUCUUCUUUGAUUACAUCUUCUAAUAAUUUGUGUUUUUUUUUUGUUUGAACAAAUGAUUUCAAUUGUCGUAUGUUAUGUCUUUUUAUAUAUUUUGUUUUUUUUUGUUUUCUCAAGAUUAUAUUUCGUUUUUCAUGGUUAGAGUUGAGAUAAAUGAGACAAAACCAUAGCCGUAUGAUUUCCUUGGGAAUUCGUGGUGGAAGGUUGAUACGAUAAGAUUGGCUUUUGAGUUGAUGCUACCAAAAGCUUGGAUGUGGGUACAAUUCUCUCAUGCCUUUUUGUCACAUUAUUCUCUUACACAGUAUUUUAAAGAGAAAAUAUGAGAGAACAAUCAAACAAUACCUUUCAAGUUAAUUAAUAAUAAUAAUAAUAAUAAUAAUAAUAAUAAUAAUAAUAAUAAUAAUAAUAAUAAAGUGAUAUUAAUAAAGAUAAUAGCCAAAUUGUCUUCAUCAUUCAUUUUUGGGUUCAUUUUAGAGCAAUAUUCACUUGCAAUAUUUUAACAAAAAUGAUUUGGAGUUUUGACAUCAAUCGCUUCACCGACAAAGUGGAGAACUCCUCUAAAUCUUGUGUGGGCUCAGAAGGACAUCCACAUUCAUGAUUUCUGAUAAGAUAGAUUGAAGGGAAUAAUCUUUCUGAUAAGAUGUAUUUGGUGCAGCAUGAGCAAGACAUGUUGUUUUCUGAAAUGUAAAAAGCUAAUAUUUUUCUCCUUAUUUUUUCUCAUAAAAGUUUACCUUCACCAAGUAAAAGAAUAAAAAAUAAUAAAAAUGGCAACAUCAACUGCUGACUUUUGUUUCAUGAAACAAAAACUUCACAAAAGAAAGAUCAUAUAAAUCUUUAUUCUUUUUUUUUCUUUUUAAAGGAUGUCAGAUUGACAGGGAGGGCAAUUGAGCCACUGAUUGACUCCCCUAUUGUGUAUGUUAAAGGAUACUUUUGUAUUUGUUUUUGUAAGUAAUUAAUUUUCUUUUCUUCAUAAAAAAAAAGGAAGGAAGAAGAUGAAGAUGAGAUUCCAAGCUAAUUGAAGAAGAAGAAGAACAAGAAGAAGAAGAACAAGAACAAGAAGAAGAAGAAGAAGAAGAGGGGAACAGUCUCACUGCACAAUUUAUUGCAAAGCACAAGUGCAAGCACUACUAGAAAAACACUUGGUGUGUUAGCUCCAAACUGGUAAUGUCGAUUGUUUAGUGUGCAUUCCUUCCAUGAAGCUAACAUUUAUUUUCUCCUCCCUUUGAGCUCUAAAGUGUGCAGCAGAAUCCAAUGCUGGUGAGAGGCUCCUCCAUGCCUCACCACAAACAUGUUUCUCCAAGAUCCCAAACAGUGGCAUUGCCACCCCCCACAAAUCUCUCCCUUUUGAUGGACACACUGUUGCUAUUUUUGAGCUGACCCUACCACAGAGGAUUCCUUCAAUCAUUCAGGGAGUCUUGCAAUCAAUUGAUAGCUCUGAGGGAGAAUUCCCAGUUCCUUCUUAGUUAUUGUAGUAGGCAAUCUUCUUAGUUAUUGUUUGAGAGACGCAACAAGUGAAGUUCUAUUGUUUAUGAUUAACAUUUAUGGCUUGACAGUAUAUAUUUGAGAAUUAUGCUUAAUUCCUUGAUAAAUUUUAUUGGAGAAAUAAGAUUACGGAAAACCAAGGUCAUCUCGGAAUUAUGCGAACGCGAGAAUGGUCGAUGUACGCAAUCUUACCCUUUGGAAAACUAGAAAACUAGCGCGAUGUCGAAGUCAUCUCGAUAAGCGAAUGAAAGGGAAGCUAAUUGGUGAAUGGUCAAUAUGCAUAAAUAGUGUUAAUUUUUCUUGCAACAAAAAGAGAUAUCAGAUAAUAAACCGACAACCUCAUGCAAGCUGAGGUCAUUUUGGGGGUUUAUAGUUUCAUCACAGCAUCAAAAUUCAGCUACAAAUCAUUGAAAGACAAGAAGUUGGUCAUGGAUUAACAAUUCAUGUUUCCAUGGUCAAGUGAAGGAUGGAGAGCUUCUUGGGUAUUAUUCCUGAGGUAGAUGAAACAGACGAAAGAGGUUGAGCUUGAUGCUUCACAGGUUGAAAAGUGAUGCUUCAGUUGGCAGAAAGGAAAUGACUUGAGAGAAGGAACAGCUCCAAAAAGAAGAUGACAAUGUGUGAAAGAUUUAGGUGUCUUUUUCUUUCAGCAAACAAAUGUUCAAUUGUUGCAUUUAUUUUCCAUUUUAAUUUUAUAUUUUCAUAUGAUAGAUAGGAUAUUUGUUUAAAUAAAAAUUAAUUCUCUUGUUCUUCAUGAUUGACGUAUAUACGUUCUGUCGCUUAGAAUUCCAUUACCCCUUCCCGUUUCAGUAUUGGAUAUCAACUUCUCAUUUCAGUAAAGAUGAGAUUGUUCUUUGAUCUUUUGCUUUCUCUUCUGUUGCUCAAUCUGCAAGAUGUAACACAAAAUAUAAUUCUAAUCAAUUGAGAGAGAGUGGAAUGGGCAAUCACUCAUGAUAGUGAUCUACAGAAACCUAUUCAACAGAACCCACCUUGAGAUGUUGAUUCCUUCCUCUGCAAAUUUUUUGGCAUGGCCCACCUCCUCCCACGCUUAAUAAUUGUUUCUUAAUGUUGAAGAAAUUGCAGUUUGAUGUAUUAAAUGUUUGCCAAAUUGUCAAAUUAUCUAACGUUGGAGCUCUAUUUCCACCAAAUAUUAUCAUUGACCUCAGUUGAGAGAGAAUGGACAACUCAAAUUUAAUUGGUAGACUUGUCUGCGUCCUAUUGAUUUUUGGAGCCCUACCAAUCGCAGUUAGGUCAAAAAGAGAUUUAUCUCAACAUGAAAGAUGAUAAUGCUACUGAAAUGCAAUGGACAUAUACACCAUGCAGCAUAUGCCUGCAAAUUCUGUGUGGACCAUGUCCUUUCCCUUUUGAAACUCAUGAUUCAUGCUAUAGUCAUUUUAAGUUGAAUGUUGAUGUUGAUCAUCACAGGAAAAAAACCAUGUUGAUGUUGAUCAUCACAGAAAAAAAACCAUGUUGAUGUUGAUCAUCACAGAAAAAAAACCAUGUUGAUGUUGAUCAUCACAGAAAAAAACCAGAUUCCAACGUGACAAGACUUCAAGAUUCUCAAAAAGUAACAGGACAGGCAGAAUGAGUAUCAAAUUGAACUGUUAUGGCAAUAAGUUCUGUGUUAAUAUUAUAGACAUACAACAGUAAUAACUCUUGUACUUUUUCGAUCCACGAGGAUUCAGAUAGUUCACCUAGCAUCUUCCUUUUCAGUUUCAUGUUCAGAAGCUGUUGAUGGUCUCUAUUGAUCCAACAGUCAAAACCAUCCAAUGAUGCUGGAAUCAGUUAACUUGUGCUGGAAUCAGUCAAAACCAUCCAAUAGACAUACCCGAGUUAUGUUACAAAAAUCAUAAGCAGCAGCACUCUCGAGAAGCUGAAUACAACACCAUCACUGUAUCUCCAGAAAUCCUGUCUGCCUAGCUUAUCAGCUUUUCACGAUACUUCAUCACUGGAAUAUUCUUCGGUUACUGUAGAUUGGUAAUCCAAGGGGUUGCAAUUAUUUUAGCAUAAGCCACCAAUUUUCAACCCACUCAUGCAUUGUACACAGUGGAGAUCAUGAUCAGGCGUUUGGCCAGCUUACCAGCUACCAGGCUCGGCCAUUGCAGCACAGGCCCAAGCAAAAAAACAAGAUUGCACUCUAAAGAUCAGAAAGUGAUUAAAUGCAAUAGCACUUGAUGAAAGAAAAGCAUUUGCAAUGUAGGCACUUAAUCCCAUGAUGUCACGGACAGUGCCACCCAAAGAUCGUUGGACGUUCCCUGUAUAUACAUCCGAUGUGUCUGAAUUUCCUCCAUGGUGGCCAUAGGAAUGCUGCUACCGUAGUGACUAUCUUCUACUCGAUCAUUGAUUGAGAAUAUUAUUUCUCUUAAAAUAGGUUCAUGCCCAUUUAGAAGAUUGCCCAUGCUCAAAACUUUCCUCCAUGAUUGAUUGGCGGUGGGGGGAGGAAAUAAAAUGGAUACAGCAUCUCUCUCAUGCAUCAUCACUAAUUGCUUGGUUUUGAACUCCUAAACAGGUUUAAAAAAGAAAUUUAUACAAUCAACCAAAAGCUUUUCAUGCUAGUGUACUUAUAAGACAUUUUGAAGGUGAACACUCAUGGAAUCAGUUGUUUACAAAUGGGUUUUUCAUAAUUGAUGAGAGUCAGGCUGGGAUGAGACAGAAUACCUAUUGUCCUUUAUGAAAUUUAUAUUCAUCAUCUAGAAAACAUCUAAAACCUAAACAUCUGAGACCAUAAGAAUCAAAGAAAUAACAAUUAAAGAUGAUUUGUAGAUGUCCAAAGAUGAUUUAGACCAUUAGUAUGAUGCAUAUGCACCAGCUUGUCACCAUGCAAGUUUACUAAUGGAUGAAACAACUUACUUCAUCAAAAAAAGGAAAAACAAAAACAAAAACAAUAGUACCUGGUCAUAGCAAAUGCUCUCUAAACUGGUACCCAUUUUGGGAAGAUAAAAGUUGAAAUAGUCACUGAACAUUGCUUCAGAAAGGCGUGGGACAUCUAAUAGCUUACGGUGGAUUGAAGCUGCAAAAAUUAGUAGUUUCUCUAUGUGCUCGAAUACAAGGCAAAGCCGUCUUAAAUCACCUAUCAACUCUGCCUUUUCACGAAGAUGAUUUGCUGUAAAAUGUACAGAGUCAGUACUCAAAGUUGCAUGUAUCUAAAUAAUAAUACUUAAAAUAUUGUACAUUAGAGUUAAUAAUAAUUUUCACCACAGCCCAUGAACUUUUAGAUAGAUGGAGCCCACUGAAUAGGCAAGCUGCAGGCUUGUGACUAUAACUGGAAGAAGUUAAAUGGUAGAAUCUAUGCUACUUUAAGUGGACUUUUAAUGGACCAUCCAAACCAUUAGUAACUUACAUAGGACCAUCCAAACAUAUAUCGGAUAAGAAACAAUGAUCUACAUCAGUACUUAAAAGGAAUAGAUUUUUGAUGAACUAUAAGAUCAAAUUACAACUACAGAAUCUACUUGUUCUCUCAAAGACAACUAUUUAACUUAUAGAGUCAAAUCACAUACCUUGCAAAGGCUUUAAAGUUGAUGCUAGUGUAAUGUAAAGCUGAUUAAACCUUGUCUUCAUGGGUUUAAAAUCACCAUACAUGGUUUGGUUCAGAAUGUCAGCUGAUGCUCUGAAGGCAGUGCAAACCAUUUGCUCAAGCAGCUGAUGUGGUUUCAAAGUUUCAAGAUAAUGGAGUAUCUAUUGCAAAAGAAGAAACACUUCAGUGGCAGAAAAUAAUGUUGAUCUUAACAAGCACAGAUUAACAGUUAUAGCUGCCACAAUUAGACUUACUAAAAGCAUACAGAACACAAAAGAAUGCACCCACCUCUUACAUCAUAAGCAAGCAUUUUUCCAUGGAUGCCUAAACUUACCCAUAUGUGUCAAAUUCAGAUCAAACAUGUACUUAAAAACAGGUUGGCAAUAAAAUUUCAGUUUUCUUCAUGCUAGAUAGACGCAGAACAACUACCCAUAAAUCACAUAAGAUAACAUUGGAAGAGAAGUUCAUUUAAUAGGAAACAAGGACAAAAUAUAAUGUGUGCUGCCAGGUUGCUUCUUGAAUUUUCUGUUAUCUUUCUCCUAUGGUGAAGAGCUUUUUCUCAGUAGCAUUCUAUAAUCAUUUUUUAUUUGUAUAACUUUCCUAAUGUUUUAAAUCCAUCAGACUAGUAGGCAUUGAAUGUUGCACCUCUUGUGCUGCAUGCUCUUAUAACCAAGGUUUACAGUUUCGAAUAAUACCGCCCAGUAUGGGUGGUAUAUACCGGUCCGACAGGAUACCGGUAUGCGGACUGCUCGCUACCAGACGGUACCGUCGAUUGGGGCUGUUUCCGCCUCGGACGGUGACCGAGGGAGAAGAAAGAAAGGGAGAAGGGUGGUAUUAAGCGAGGGACGAAAGAACAGGGAGAAGAAGAGGAAAACCUGGAGAUCGGCGCCGCUCUCCCCCCUCGUUUGUCGGCGACUUUUCUCGGCGUGGGGAGAAGAAUCCGCGAUCGCAGGGAGAAGAGAGGCGAUGUCGCGGGCAGAAAAGAGGAGAUGUCGCCUCGUCGUUUUUCUGCAAUGUCGCCUCGGCGACAUAGGAGAAAAAAUUUUCUUUUCUGCCCACGUGGGGAGAAGAAAGUUUCUUCUCCUAACGCACCAAAAAGGGCGACAAGGCUGUCGGUUUUUUUUUUAUACUUUUAUAUAUACUGAGUGGUAUAUCGAAUUGUACCGCUCGGUAUACAGUAUCGUACCGUACCGAACAAGUCUCGAAACUUUGGUACGGUACGAAAUUUCAAUCCUUGCUUAUAACUAAAGUACUUCAUGCAGUUCAUAUGCAAGCAAAAUCUCGCUUUCUGCAUACAUGCUCUUAUACACAAAAACAACUCUCCAGUAUUGCAUAUUUCCAAUGGAUCAAAAGUAACUCCGACAAUCACAUCUUAUCAAACACAUUUAGAAAGUCGACACCUUUGAUCGUUUUCCUAGUCCAUCACCAACCUUUUUGCAUGAAACCGGUGCAGAAAUAUCAUAAAAAUGAAGUUUAUCAUUCGCUAUAGCAACACUGCUAUGCACCACUAAUAUCAGCAGUUGGAAAGGUUUCUUUCGGUUAGAUUGAAUCACAGAAAUAACCACCUUUACUCGUAGCAAGAAAAUGCUAUUUGCACAAACCAACAUCAAGAUAUUCAAAGAUAGACAGCCUUCAACUUAUUUUCAUAAUUAAUACAUAAUUAUGUACCAAUAUUCAGAUCAGGAAUGUUGCUUUAACUCAUAAGCUAUCAUGUAAGAACCAUCUUUGCACAUUUAAAGAAACAUCUCUUUCUUUCUCCAUUGAUAAAUUGAUUCUGCUGCAGCUGAUAUAUACUAGUCUGAUUAAAACCAAAAUGACUUUCAAUUUUGAGAAAACCACCAAUUUGAUUUGAAGAUGCGUCAGACCUUCAAGAUAGGGUGAUUUACACAAAGUUCCCUUUUUGAAACCACCCAUUUGCUCUCAAACUGUAUCUGAUCUCUUUUGAUGAUUCAUAGCAAAUUGGCCCCCGAGAAUUCCUUGCAACUUUUUAUAUUAGAAGAAGCAUAACCUCUUAUCUUGACUUUUCUGGCAACUAAGUUAGAAAUCUUGGGAAGAAUUAUAAUUCCACAGCAAUAUAACUCAUUCAUUUCACAACAAAAAUUGUCACUUUCAUUACUCAGUUCAGAGGAACCUGAUUUUGGUCCAAUAUGUGGUUAGAACUUAGAAGCACCAAAAUAUCAUGAUCCAACAAUAGUACAUGCGGUUGUGCAAAAUAUCAUGAUCCAACAAGGUACAUUUAACAUAUUAAUCAUGAAUUUUCACACUACAGUUUGACUAGUCGAUGAUGUCAAUACUGUACUCUGCAAUUUCAUGGCUAUUACUCAUAUCUAACACAUUCAUAUGAUAAUUAUUACUUUGCAACAAACUAGCAUGAAGCUAUUGGAAGAGAACCUUAACUGUAGAAGUUGAAAAAAAAGAUUUGUGACCCAGUUACCCUAGCAAGAUUAGUACUAUGUAAGAGUGAUGAAUUAAAACAUAUAAAAUCUGUAGCACUAAAAUGUAAAAAAAUGAUAAAGUACGUACCUUUUCUCCUUCUCGAAUUGGGUCAAGAAGGGACUUCUGCUCUAACACUGGCAAAGGUGGAGAAUCAUUCCAAAUUUGUCGCCAUAAAUUCCCAUGUUCAGACAUGCGCUGUGAAAGUUUUCCUCGAGGAGGCCAGUUAUUUCCAUCACCUGCGCAGCCGUCCAUGUCAUCAUUCUCCCAGUCACCAGGUGAAUGCCACCGAAUAAAAUCCUCAAACACUGCAUCUGGGUUUGCAGCCUUGAAUGCUGACAUGUCUAGUACAACAAAAUUGUGAAACAUCAAAUAUAAUUCAUUCAUAAUUUUCUAACUUAUACAUAUUUUUACAAAGAGUGAGGUGAGUCAAUAGGUUUAGUGGUGCAAAGAAAGAGAGAAAGACCUAAAAAAGUUUUUACAAGAUACAAUAAAGGGAGACUUGAUUGUUCUUAGAUAACGAAAGAUAUCAAUCCAAAAAGAGAUCAAUAGCAAGGAAAAUACCCAUGUAGGUGACCUUAAAUAGAUGGUACAUAAUGAAUUAUUGUUGUAGUGCUUGCAAUUUCACUAGAAAGAGCAGGGCUCUUAAUCCAAAAUCAAAUUACAAUUGAUAACAGCAGCUUAUCAGCACUUGAUGAUGUGUUAAAAGUAAUCAUGAUUUCUCAAUUAAUAAACUCAACAAUAGUUUCCUGUGAACAGAAAAAGAAGAAAAUAGGAAAAAUGAAAAAAAAAGAAAUUAACAUAUAUAUAAGUAUAACAAUAGUACUGUUAAAAACACAACUUUGUGAACCCUUUAGAAAAGGUGAUUUGGGCAAUCUUACCAGAUGAGAGAAUAUCUCUUUCCAAUUGACCAGAGAAACUCUGUAACACAAAGUACAAGACAUUAUUUUCCAUUGACAAAAAUUGCUAAUGUAUUGUCAGAUAAAAAAAAAGAUGAUGGUUUGUCCUAUCAUAUCUUCAAACAACUAAUGCCUGAAAUUAGCAUAUGUCGACACAAUAAGGACAAUUGCACCAUGCCCACAGCUAACUAGAAAUAAUUGAAUUAAAUGCAUCUGUUCUUGCUUCAAGAUGGUGUGUCAAAUCAUAUGGCCAUAUAUCCCAUCACAUAAAUACAUCCUGCAACUUGAUCUAAGGUGAGCAAGUAUGACCCCACUUGCAAAUACAUUUAAUGGAAAUAUAACUUUCUAAGGGUAUUUUCUGACCAAAAAUUGCACAAAAUAUCUUUUGGUUGGAACUGAUUUAUCUAUGAAUCCAAAAUACCCUUAGAUGUGCUGGAAAGGCUCUCUUUAGCGAGAUCCACAUACGGAGGCUUGGGGAAAAACAUUUUAACUAAAAUGGAAAGACUAGGUGUCAUAUGAUGCAAGAAACAGUUCACACUAAAACCUACCAGAAAUGCCACCUUUAUGUCAUUUAUCUAUGUUUGCCAAACCAAACAAGUCUAGAUUAUAAUGCACAAGUCAAGCGAAAAUUCUUUCUUUACAACAAUGACUUAACAAUGAUCUGACUCCUGUAUAGUGAUACUGAUAUAUCUUGUCACUGAUGAUAAAUAAUUGCCCUACACAGCAUCAUCAACAGGCUAGAACUGGAUGUUGAAAAUCUAACUGCUACCACUAGCAAGGUAAAGAGUUUAAUCAUGUUAUAUUAUAAAUGAUCAUCUUUUAUGUCACACGUGGCACUAAUUGGCUUAUUGUCUAUGCUACAUUUAGGGGUGACUGUUUCAAAAACUUACAUCCACUGAUAAUACUUUGAAAGUUUGAAUUCAUGUUGAUACAACAUGGAUCCUAAUAAUACAUAGUAUCAAAUAUCGAAUGUAGUGCUCAGAAGGCUAGGAGGUCGCCCGGAAGCAGCCCAUCACAUCAACACCCGGAUGUGGUGUCAAAUGGGCAAGGGUUCUCACAUUGUUUUAGACCAAUGGGAAUAAAGAAGUUUAGUUUAAGAACAGAGGGUUGGGCUAACAACUUGAAAUAUAAGAACACUUUUUAAGGGAAGAUAUUAGAAUUGGUAGACACUAUGAUCAUAAGAAGAAUAAAUAUUAUUUGCUUACAAGAGACAAAGUGGGUAGGGAAAAAAUCUAAAGAGAUUGAUAGCACUGAAUUUAAACCUUGGUAUACUGGAAAAGUUAAACACAAAAAUGGUGUAAGAAUUGUUGUUGAUAAGGGUCUUAAGAAGUAAGAACAAUGUUGUAGAUGCAAAAAGAUUUGGAGAUAAAAUUAUAGUUUUAAAAUUUGUGAAUGGAUAAGAUGUUUUGAAUGUUAUUAGUGUUUAUGCCCCUCAAAUCGGAUUAAAUGAUCAAACCAAAGAGAAUUUUGGAAAAGCCUAGAUGAUAUGAUUCAAAUCGGAUUAAAUGAUCAAACCAAAAGAGAAUUUUGGAAAAGCCUAGAUGAUAUGAUUCAAAAUUAUGUAACUACUAGUGUUAGAACUAUAGGGAGUGUGUCUAAUGAGUUUCCUAUUAGCAUAGGAUUACAUCAAUGAUCCACAUUAAGUCCCUAUAUUUUUAUAUUGAUAAUAGAUUAACUUACUAGUCACUAACAUGAUAGAUCUCCAUUGUGUAUGUUGUUUGCUGAUUAUAUUAUUUUAGUUGAUGAGAACCUAAGUAGAAUUAAUUAUAAAAUUGAGCAAUAGAGGCAAGCCUUAGAAACUAAAGGUUUUAGAUUAAGUAGAACUAAAACUGAAUAUAUAAAAUACAAUUUUAGUGAUUCUAGGAAUAGAUAUAAGAAUAUAAUUAAGUUGGAUAAGCAAAAGUCUCUUUAAGAUAAAACUUUAGAUAUUUUGGAUCAAUUAUUUAAUAAAAUGAAGAUAUCGAUGAAUAUAUUAUUCAUAAAGUAAAAACAGAAUGGUAAAAAUGACAAGGAGCAUCAGGAGUCUUGUGUGACUAAUAGAUAUCUUUGAGAUUAAAAAAAAUAUUUAGAAAAUAGUUGAGACCAACAAUGCUUUAUGGAUCAGAAAACAAUUUUAAGACUAACAAUGCUUUAUAGAUCUGAGUGUUAGGUAAUUAAAAAAUAAUACAUAUAUAAAAUUUAUGUUAUCGAGAUGAAAAUGUUGAGAUGGAUAUAUGGAGUUAGUUGAAAAGAUAGGAAAAAGAAAUAGUUUUAUUUGUGAACAACUAGGUAUUACUUCGAUAAAGGAUAAAAUUAAAGAAAAUUGUUUAAGAUGGUAUAAGCAUAUGAUUAGGAGAUUUCUGAAUGCGAUAGUUAGAAGAGAUAAAAUGAUUCAUGUUAGUGAUACGAGGAGAGGUAGAGAACGACCUAAAAAGACCUUAAUAGAAACUAUUAAUAAAUAUUUAAGUACUCUGAGCUUAACUAAAUAUAUAGCUUUUUAUAGAUCUCAAUGGCAACAAAAGAUCCAUGUUCCGACCCCAAAUAGUUGAGACUUAUGACUUUGUUGUUGUUGUAUCAAAUGUCAAAUGCAAUUUUUGCAUCCUAUACUUAAUUAGACAUUAUUAUAGUGUGUUUUAUAGUUGUAAUAUUGCAGCUGAGUGGUGGCCAUGGAGGAUACUACGUCAAUCAAAAAAAUAAAAAUUGCAGCAAAGAUCCCAGUGUAAACCACAUCAUCCAGUGGUGCAUAUAGAUGCUUGGAGAAGCUGAUAUACAUGCAUUAUAACAUUUGCAAUAUCUCAAGAUAAAGAAAGGAAGGUUGAGGAAGAUCAAUUUGACACUCAAUUUGUCCAUGAUGAUUCUAGAGGAAGAUCCACUUGACUCAAACUUUCCAUGAUAAUUCAAAUCCUGUGAUGGUUUCGUUAUGUAGUAUGUACAACCUAGAAUAAAGAUGUCCAACACUCAAUGGGAUGGGAGAUUCACUACGUUUGUCAGGAUUUAUUUAUGAACAUAUUGAGUAGGAAGAUCAACAAGAUGAGGUGACUAAAUAUGAGGGGUUAGGCCUUAUGACAUUGCCAGGGCACAAGAAGUCAAUCUUCCAUGGGUCAUCAUGCCACAAGAAGUCAGUCUCACUCAUCCACAUGCACAACAAGGCCAAGUUCGCUCAUUUGACCAUUAAGUGGUAGUUGAUAAGCAACAGUUCGAAGAGGAUGAUGAAACUUCUCCAAGUGAUUACAAUCUCCAUGAGGUUAGAAUUGAUUCUAGUGAUGUCGACAAUAUUGAUGCUAGUGGACAAAACCUUAUACUACACGAAGUUGUGAAUAGUGGAUAAAGGAGCAGCACUAUAACAUAUUGGAGCAACAAUAUCCACAAAGUGAUAGAUACUGGAUACAGGUUGAUUUAAACUCUUGGUGAAACAGGUCAAUUUAAACUCUUGGUGAAAAUCCCGAACAGUAUAAAACUCGCCAAGCAAACUCUUAAAUAACAAAAAAGAUCACAGAAACCAACUUAAAAGAAAACAGAUUCAUCAUGGAGAAAUACCCAUCUAGUCAUUUUUACUAUAAAAUUCUUUAGUCUAUUCUGUAAGUGAAGUCCAUAAUCAGACUUAAAAAUGCGUCACUUAGUUCCUCAACUAAUUGGAGCCUUUCUCAAUAAUCUUUUCUAGGUAGGUUUUAUAAGUAAAGCAAACCUAUAAGAGACAGAAAUGCAAUCAUAGUUUUAGAAAAUUAAACUUACAAAUGCAUCACCAAAUACUUCAACAGCAUGAAGCCUUUCCUCAUGCAUAUCUUCUGUCAUAAUUGGUGCAUCCUAAAAUUGAAGACCAGGAAAAGCUUAUUCAGCAUUCCCAGAAAAACAAGGUUCAAUCUCAAAAAAUGUACAACAGAACAGAAACACAAAAAUAACCUGUGUGUAUGGAGCAUGCAUCUUCUGAUAUGAGUGGAGCAGCAUCAUUGACCCAACAACACCAGCUGAUCCUUUCCGUACUUGAUCUACUUUUUGCAGAUCAGGAGAUCGUACACUAUAAUCAUGAUGCUUAAACGAACUUGAUGUAGAUGGUUCUGAAUCUUGAUGACAAUAAGAUCUCAGAUAACUGUGCAAAGAAAAAGUUUUAACUUUUAAGUAAUCUACAUUUGUUGAAACUGAACGAAAAACAACUUCUAAGAAAAUUAAACUAACAUUAAAGAAACAUUACUUCACUUGAAACAAAAAACUUUAUUUCAACCAUUUUAUCCUGAUAAAAACAUAGAAUCUAAAUACAUUUUUAUGACUGUACAUGCUACUAAGUAUUCUUCAUCAUUUGAACAUUUCAUUGACACUUCAACUCUCUUCUGGGAUGACAAGAGAAGUCCCAGUUCUAAGAAGACAAAUUAUCAUUUCUUACAUCAGAAUUCCACAGGAGAGCAUCCAAUUUAAAGGAAGAUAACUGGUUCAUUAUGUCAUCAAUAAUUCAGGGAAAAACCAAAGCAAAAAGUGGUUGGCAUAUAAUUAACACUUAGCUUAUGGCAUCUGUAGACAAAAUAUAAAGACAAGGCAUAUACGAAACACAAUCUUAAGAGUUAAGACCAAACAAAAAGUUUGAUCCAGAUUAAACAGCUUGAUCAUUGUAUACCCUAUACAUAUUUAUUUUGAUGCAUGGUGCAUUUACAAUGAAUAUAUAGACAUAUUAUUCUACUUUGCAUGAGUUCUUAUAAGCUCCAUUAUCAACCAUCACUUCCCAUAGUUAAAACUGGAUCCAAGAAAAAUCAUAUCCAAAAUUACUUCCAAUCAGUGGAUAUAAAAAAUAGAUACAUAAUUAUAAACUACAUUUCUUUGAUGGAUAUGGAUUCAAAUUGGACAUAUAAUAGAUGUGGUCAGAAAUUGGACUAAGGUGAAUAUAUACAUGAAUAUCAGGUGAAUCAAGGAUACAUCAGUUUAAAGAAACUAGCUCAAAUAAAUUGAUCAUAUUUAUUGAAUAAUAAUAAAAUUAAUGUGAAAGGAAAAGAAAGAACGAGAAGUAUAUAUACUUUGCAUAUUAUAAUCAAUUCAAAUAAUAAAUUUCCUUAUGAUGUUUUUUGACCAUAUUAAUACUAAGUGCAACAUUGCAUCCAACACUUACACGUCAUUUCAUUGCCUCCAUUAACAAUAAAUUGCAAUAACAGCAACAAAUAACUCUUUAAUGCCUUCUACAGAGAUAAAUGAUAGCCUAUGACAAUUCCUCAUCCAAUCAACAAGUCUAUGUGUUGCCUCAUCGGAUGACAUCACAUAAUUCAUAAUCAGAUCCUUUGCGAGUCAAGACUCGAUAUGGAUAUCAACAACCAGUGCCACUAGCAAGAACUCCACCACUCAUGAAAAUGUGAUAAGAGAAAGUUCAAGUUCAUAGAGUUAGCUGAAUUGAAGGAUGAUAUCAGUAACUUCAUUGCAUUUGUAGCAAAUAUUAAAAUUGGUGGUCGCUGAGAAAUAGAUCUGAAUCUUCCUACUUGACUAUAAGAUCCUGUAGAUUAUCGGAAAAAAGGGAAUUCCACAUACACAAGUGCCUAAACUAGCACAUAAUGAUUGCAACAAUGUGCUAAAAAAUGAACAUUGAUGAAAAAAUGCCAGACCAGUGGCAUUGGCUCAAUUCAGAUUUCCUAGUGCCUACUCUCUUCAACUGUUGGACAAAGUUCAAAGAAACAGUUGGACCAGGACACACCACCAGUCAGACCGGUACAACUGACAUCUAACUGGUUUCCAGCAUGUAGAGCAAUUUUGCAAGGCCCAAAUCUAGAGAGCUGAAAAAAACUGUCAACAACUAUUGGUUGUCAGAAAAUAGUAAAAAAGUAAAACAAUAAAUAAAAUUUGGCAAUUUCACUGAGGAGAAUUUUUUUAUUAUUCAUGGAUGUAUUUGAGUUCUUAUUUUCAAUUGAUGUUUUAGAGAGUCCCUAGAGUCCACGUUUAAGCCUCUUUGUCGUCAAAGAGUCUUAGUGUACUUAUAAGACGAGUUGUUUAGCAAUGGAUAGUUUUGAUCAAGGUUUGAAAUUUCAUACCAUACCGGUGUAUCGAGCUUUGAUCGGUAUGGUACAAUGCAUUGUACCGAGCGGUAUGCCUAUAUAUAUAAUAUAUUUUAUAUAAAAAUCAAUAUAUAAAAAUCAAUAAAAAUAUUUUAAAAAAGACAUACGCAGCCACGGUGGCGUCGCCUCCUCAUCACCUCAUCUGCUGCAUUUGGCGAAGAAGGCAACGAAGAUGUCCAAGGCUGCAGAUGUCUUCGGCCUUUGGCGAAGAACGCAGCGAAGAUCGCAGACAUCUCUGGCCUUCUGCGAAGAAGAAAGCCAUAGAGUCGCAGAUGAGGCGAUGAAGGAGACCGCCUCUUCCGUUGCUCUAGUAGCUGCCUCCCCUGAUCCCUGCGCAUCCAGAUCCUCCUCUUUACGACUCUCCUCACCGUUACCUCCAAGACCGAGAUCAAGGCGGCACCGGAUCGAGAUCGAGAAAGGGCGUGGAAACAAGUUCGCGUCGAGGUUUUCCCGAUUCUCCCUCUUCUUCGACUGCCCUCUCCUUCUUCGACGCUUCUCCCUCAGCCUCACCGCAGCCAGGUUGCUAUAUUUAACGGACCGCCCGGUAGUAGGCUAUCACGGACAAAAUUCUAAACAGGAUGUUUGAUGUAAUACUUAUGUAUGUCCGUGUCUUUUGGUUUGUUCAUGCUUUGCACAACAUGUAGAGGGACGAUCGAAGGCUUAACAACCCCAUUUUAAUUGGGUUUGGUGGCUGUUUUAGGCUUGUAAAUAAAGGAUGUGUCAUGUGGACACUUGUGAGAGAUACUUGGUCUGUAGUGGACCAUUUUGACCCUUUGUUGUGCAACCGUUCAGAGCUUGUAAAGUCUGUUUGUAAUUUGCAUUGGCUAUGAAGUGUUUUCUGAAAUGUUUGCUUGUGGAUCCCGAGUGAGGCGCUUUCUCUAACUCGUUUUCUCUUUUGUAGGUCCUAAGGGACCAUGGGAGGUUUCGAGGAGGCUGACCUUUGCGGAUGGACAUGCAAGGGUGCCGCACAACUUAGGCAAAACCAGCUAAGUCCGUGACAGGGCGAUCGGCGUACCGGUUCACGGGCAGACCGGUAUGUAUCGCCCGUACCAGGCAGUACGAUUCGAAAUCACAAACCUUGGUUUUGAUAUUACUUCUCUAAAUUAUUUUCAAAGGUAUUUUCUCCUAGAGUUGGAGAAAGCUCCAAUAGCAAGGACCCAAUCCUAAUUGAUUAAAAUAUCUUCUAGUUAUGAGGUUGGGUCCUAUGUCAAUUCAGCAUGAGUCAGCUAUAUAGCAUUAAAGACAUCUCAACAAGAUUCCAAUUAAUAAAUAUCAUGAAUCGACAUGUCAUAAUAUUAAGCCACGUUAUUUGUGGCAUUAUAAUAAUAAGAUAAUCAUUUAUAUGUGUUUAGUAUAUGGUUGCAACUUCUAUAUAAUGGCAGAAAAAAAAUCAAAUAACAAUUUGGAGAAUCAAAAGAUAACAAUUUCUGCACGAAGGUGAGAAAGCUACUGAUGUCGGCAGCAAUUUUAUCAUGCUUGUUAAAAUUUAUUUAGGCCCACCAUGCAUCUAAUUUGGGAUGAUAUUUACGAAUAUUAAAAGGUAGGCACAAGUAGAUUAAUUCAUGUAGAUCAUAUUGGUCAUAUAUUGCAUCAAUGAAAUUAAUCACAUAAAAAGUGUCAAUAGCUUAUAUUUCAUGUCAGAUUGCUUCAUUCCUAGGUGAGCUUUGAACAUACAAACAUAAUUUAAAAUUUUAAAUGUAAACUACCAGGACCAGAAAACCACUGCAUGAUUUUCAUGACACUGUUUAAUAAUAGAUUAUCCACUUCCAUACAUUGAAUAUUAAGCAAUGGAUUAUUCUGGUGCAAAAAUAAGACAAACCCUUAAACACAUACUUUACCUGCCAUUUUCAUUUUUUACAGGUUCCUUAAAUGGGUCAGCUUCAGCAUCUACCUGUGUAUCAAGCUCAAGAGUGUUAGUAUCCCUUACAAACAGAAAGGUGAAAGACACAGGAAAUUGUGAGUCACACCUUUUUACCACUAGGAGUAUGGUCUACACUUUCAGUGCUGUUGUGAGUGUCAUGACUCAAGUUCUUCUUCUCAAUGCAUAUGGCAAGCUUAAAACAAGAUGAAAAAUUAAUGAGGAUGGUAAUUGUCUAAAAAAAUUAAUAAAAAACUUACCAACUUUUCUAAGUCUCUAAGCACUAGAAAUAUGUUACACAAUAACCAAAUCAAGCAUUAUAAAGAAUAAUGAAAAGUAUAUACUAGAUAUUCCACAAUGGAAAUAUUAUUCCUUUACAACCUGAGCAAUCAGCAUUCGAGUCACGAGAACAGCCUCGUCUAGAUAAGGUUUGCAAACGUUGGCCGUCACUAUAUCUCGUGGAUACCCUGUCAGCUAGGUUCAUCCCUUUUUUUUCCUUGACAUGGUAGUUUAUGUCAAUUAUAUAAAGUUAUAAACUAUAUAAUUUCUAACAAAGGUUAAAUCACACAAGUUGCUAUAUCUAAGACAUUUGAAGCUGUAAUUAAAGCUUGUUAACUUGAAAAGUAGUUCAUCUUGUUUUCGUUACGAAUCUAGGUUUAACCAUACUAUGAGUAUACCGUACAAUACCACUCGGUACAGGCAGUAUAUACCGGUCUGAUAGAGGACAGGUAUGGGCAGUACAUCGGUACACCUUAGUAUACCAUGUAUUCGUACGUUCGGUACAGCUCAGUACGUAUCGUACCAAUAGCUGAUCGGUACACCGGUAUGGUACGAUAUUCAGAACUUGGAUUAUGACCCAUGAGUUCACAAAAUCUCUGUUAUAAGAUGAUGUCAGAAAGAAUCCUGGAAAGGAAAUCUUUGUGUUGAGGGUAAUAAGAUGAAACUUCAUCAGCUGAAGAUAAGAGGUUAACCAAGAAAGGCAUCCGGAUAGCUUGAUUGCCUCAUCAGCCAAAGAUUAAGAGUUACAAACCAAGAAACACAUCUACCUUGAGCAUUUAGCAUGCUGCAUUCUCCAGCAAGUUGCAAACAAGGUGGUUAGCAGUUAGCCCAAAGAUGAAUGAGAAACCAUUGCUGUGAUGACUUUGUCAUCAUAUCAACAGCAUAGCUUUGAACUUUGAAGGUUCUCACAAGUCACAACUACUCUAAAGGGCUCUCUACUCAGGUAGAUGACCCAAUGACGAUAGAAAAAAGACAUAAAACAAGCAUCACAUAUCAUACUUUACUUUGCUCAAGUUUUAUACAGAAAAAAGUAGAAAUCAGGAAAUCAUGUCAAGUUUCUAAAGCCUCUUUCUCCAAAAAGGAAACCUAUAAAUUAUCAAUCUUGUAUGACAAGGUAAGUAGACUCUCAUGAAUUUUUGUCCUUUCCUUUGCUUUCUCAUUAUUGCAUUGUCAUCCCUGUAUCAUAGCCAUAUCUAACAUAAAGCAUGGUACAUGUAGUGUACCAAGUUGUCCAGUAAGCGACAGAAUGGUCAAACCAAUUAGGGAAAAUUUCAUUACAAUCAUAAAUUGAGUUAUUUAAUCAGAGGCUCCCUAUAACCAAAAUGUAUGCUUUUCUUUCAAAUUGAUUAAAUGCAUUACCAUAGGCAUGGUGUCGAAAUAAAUUUUGAACAUUAAUACAACAGACAAAUUUUAGAGAUAGCAAAUUCUCCAAGGUUAGGGUACAGAAGAUAACAAAAGUAUGUUAUCCUAUACAAUAUGAAAAUGUACAAAGUUUAACCAUGCUGAUCUCUCCUAAUAUGCUACAAAGAGCAGAAAAUGUAGAUGAACAGAAUUAUCAAGCAUACGAAAGAGAGAAACAUUACCAUUUGCAAUUUCUGAUGUAUAAGACAGGCAGACAAGUCAAUGGUGGAAUCUGAUGGCAUUUUCGGCAAGGGUUGUGAUUCUUCCCAGCACCAUCGAACUUCUCGGACGAAUUCAAUCCAGAGGGAUGCAAUAGCUAGAUAAAUUCACAGCUAAAACUCAGAAGUUAUUCUUUUUGAGUGGAAACUUUCCAGAAAAUAUCUAAGUGCAACAUAAUUGAGACACAUCAAUCCAAUUUCCAAUGUGAAAGGUAGAUAAUGAAAGCAAAAAGUUUUGCUAAUACAAACCACGAAUGUUACAACCACCAAACCAGAGUGAAUGCAGACAAAAUUGAGCAAACAGGGAUUCUAGAGGUGUGCCUUUGAUUGCACGAGAGUGUUUAUUAUCCCGUUCCACAAGAUGCGAAUUGUGGCCUCCUGAAGUUAAGACGGUAAAUCCAGUUGAUACAGAACAGAAAAAAAUUAAAGAUAAACAAAUGAAGUGAAUAAUUGUUUGCAACCAUUACAAGCAUGCUUAACUGAAACAACAAGAUGCAACAACUCUGGAAUAAAAUCCAGUUUUUAUUUCCUCAAUCAAGAGAAGCAUUUUGCAGUUCUUUUGAACAAGUUACAGAACACUCAUUCGUGCUAUUCCCAUCCUGAUUUAAAUACUAAGAGGAAAACACAAGCCUUUAUUCAACUUGUGCAACUCCACCUGCACAUCACAAACACAUCUAUGUUGUAUCAUUUCUGCCCAAUAUUCUUGGAAAAUUUCCCCCAGAUUUUUCAAUUUCUCAAAGGCAACACUGAAACAUGAAUUCCUUUAAAAUGCUAUAGUACAAUGUAAAUCAUAAAUUUCUCAAUAAAUAUUGCAGAGGAAAGACAUUCCUUGUAUCCUACAAAACCAUAGUCCCAAAAUUAUCCAUGACAGUAGGUGCCCAGACUUUCUCUUCCUAUGAAGUUAUGCCACUCAUGAAUUUAUUUUAAUGACAAGACACUGAGAUAUACAUACAUGUGUCAUGUGGUCGUCAUGUACCCACAUUUUUAUGUGGACACCCUCAACACAUGCUGGUCACUGUACAAAUGCAGCAACCACCAACAGAGUACAUGAAGGAAGCAUUCAUCACAUGAUCAAUGAUUAGUUAAAUGCAAAAAAUGAGAUACUCAAAUUCAAAUAUCCAUGUUUCUAGAACUCAUCUCAUCUACUUGCCCAUCUUUUGUGGAUGGUGCUGACACCAUUGCCAUAUCAGGAUGUUAUAUAAACAUCUAAGUUUCCAUAAUACUAUUCAGCUACUUGCUCAACUUUUCUAGGGUAUUGCUUACAUCAUGGAUGUUUCAGGACCCAUAUUAUCCACAACUUCUCACUCCCUUGAUCUUCUUAAUCUUCAAGAUAGCAUCCUAAAAAAAGCUUACUAUCUUGCUAAAUUAUCCCCAUAAACUACAUCAUUUCAUCCCAAUCUUCCUCAAAUAGCUCCGACAGGCCAAACAUACGGAUCCUCAUUUGUAUUUUUCUCCAAAUUACUUAUCCACACCCUUAUCCUUCUGCUUUGAUAUAGCACUCUGAAUAAGUUUCCUUUCCUAUUUUAUACUCACAAUUCAUGGGGAUUGCAGUUCUCUUCAGUGAUAUUAACAGGGACCAGUCCAUUUUAUGGUAUUUAAGCAUGUUAAAAAAAAUCAAGGACAUGCUACCGCAUGCUUAUUAAUGGUAUUGUCUCACAUAGAUUAGUACAGGUCACAAUGACAUACAAUGCAACAAGAGUACUACUCAAUAAAUUGAUUCAUCUAUGUUAAAUCCAAACUCAUUAGUUUGCCACCUAUCUAUGAAAACAAUGGGCACAAUUCAAUAUAAUUAGGUUACAAGCACAAACCAUCCAUCAUGGUUCAAAUACAAGGCUUCAUUUUCAAAUAUGAUUCGGCAGGUACAUUCUGACAGGCAUUUAACAACCUAACUAAAGACCGUCAUCGAACCUUAUGGCUCACUAUGUCAAUAUUCUUUCCUAUUCUAGAAUACUAGACAGUACAAGUCAAUAUACUACCUGAUAUAUGGUACCAUAUCACUAACAUCAUGGUGUUGUAACCAUGGUUCACCUUACCAGUUAAUACCGGUGUACCGACCGACCAUUAGUAUGGUAUAUAUCGAGUCAUACCAACGUACUAACACAUGACACGGUGGGCAUACCAAUGUACCAGCAUAUACUGCUUGUACCGGUCCCCUAUUGGAUUAGUACAUACCGCCCAUAUCGAGCAGCACGCUGUGGUAUGGAGAACCUUGGUUGUAACGAAUGUGGAGUUGAGAUUUUAAACUUCAAUUAGACAUUUUUUUAUUAAAAUGUUUAGUCGAUUUCAUGUGCUCAGAGUGCUAGUCCUUCAAGUAUGAUAUUGUAAAUGAAACAAGAAUUCUUGUGUUUACAUGCAUAAGGAUAACAACUAUCCAUUUAGAUGAAAUUAAGAUGAUAGAUCAUAAAAAUUGUAGUUAUUUAGAUCUUCCGACUCAUUUAUAACACUUAUCUCAACUCAAGGCCCAUCUAGCACAACUGAGGUGGGUGACAAGCAUGUCUUUUUGAAAGUUCAGAUAAAAUCCUUUUGGGAUGAUUGAAGCCUCAAUUUUCUCACCUUAAAUCAAUCGUGGAGGCUCCAAAUUGAGAUUAAACUCUGCUACAUAUGAUCUAUGAUAUUCAAAAAUCUUAAAACAAAUAUAUACAUAAAUUUGUAUAUAUUUUGUGCUCAUCAAACCAAAGUAAAUUAUGAAAAUUGUUUGCUUAUGAACAAUGACCAAUGAUUUCAAAUGUAACUUAUUACUUUGGAAGAAUACAUAAAUUUUCCUUGUUUUCAUACUCCUAAAUUGUUGAUCAAACCAAGAUCUUUUCUAUGUCAUUCAAAUUGCUUAUUUUUAUACCACUUGAUGCAUAUGUUAUGAAACUUUUCAGAAUAUUACUUAUUGUGUCUAGAAUUUUCAGACAAUGUAGGUCAUGUUUGACAGGAUCAAUCUCCAACUUGAAGCAUCCAUUGUUGAAUUUAUGGUGUUAGGAACGAGGACCAGAUUCUAUCUAUAGGAUUCUAGCUCAACUCCAACCAACUACAAAAAUUAUCCAAAAUGAUUUUGAAGCAUCUGUUGAUGAAGGAAAUUAUAAAAUUUCAACUCAUUUAAGGAAUAUAUGCAACAUUAUUACCAAUUAACAUUGAUAGUCAAGCCUCGUAACCAUUAUUAAGAUUGGACAACUUCUGUUUGAUACACUGUUUCCAAUCAUGUUGUAUAAUCACAUAUAAAUAACAAUCAUGUUGAUACAACUGUGCAAAUUUGUUGUGUUAUAAUAGCAUCAAGAAGCAAAGUAAAAUGACAAUAACAUAGGCUUCACAACAUCAGUCAAAAUAGAACAAGGAAAACAGAUGAAUGAUUAGUAAGAUACCA